AACAGUUAAUAGUAGUCAAUUCGGUAACCCCUCAAUGAUAACAGUCAAACAAAUUUUUCAUCUUUCCAUUUUCCUUAUAAGUUUAAAGCAUCAUUUAUUUUUACCAUCCAAACCCGAUGGGGGUCCACAAUCCAAUCUUAGCCUAGUAAAGGCCUGUAUCCUAGAUUAAACCAUGUGGUUACCCUCUCAACCAUCACUUCUGAAGUAAAGUUGAGGGCUCGACCCCCACACAUGGCAUAUCAUAUAAA
Molecule: long non-coding RNA, 248 nt
Filed under: Carica papaya (papaya)
Lineage: Eukaryota; Viridiplantae; Streptophyta; Magnoliopsida; Brassicales; Caricaceae
Description: long non-coding RNA (CPAP_LNC014997)
Source: RNAcentral